AAGAAAGAAGUGAUUUGAUUUCUGGAGCAUUUUUUCCAGGUGGUUGACGGGGAGGCAUCGCUCAUCCUCAGGUUUGAUCUGUGCACUUCAGGGCCCCAUUUUUGCACCUCAUGCAGAUAAAAUUCCCUCAACCAACAUUUCCCACACCCAAUUUGCAUCUGCAAGGGCCUGAAUUUAUAGCCCAAAGCUGAAAAUUUGUCUCAGGCCAUCCAGCAAAGUUUUGAUGCAGAAUUAUCCAUUGAGCAGCACCUAAAUUACAUCUCCUGUCCUGGACUGAGGGUUCCUUCAUAAUUUGAAUUUUGGGUUAAAUCCAGCCAUGAGCAGGGUUAGACCCAAGCAGCUCAGAGGGGUUUUGAUGUGAGUGAUGAAAAUUCUGCAUGAAUAUCUCAAAAUAUCCACGAUGAAAUUCACCCGACUCGUUUCAGGAACAGCAGCACGAGUUUUAUUUCUGUUUUAUUUCCCUGCAGAGGAAUAAAACAGAAUCCCAGCAGCCUCUCAGUGGAAGAGGAAAAGCUUUCCCAAGGAGUGAUGGCCAGGAACCCCCAGGAGGAGCAGCAGAAGCAAAGCCUCGGGUCCAGCAAACCCCAGAAUUUCAGGCUGCUCCCCCCGCAACGAAUCCAAAUUCUUCUCCUGGCCCAGCAGAAAAAUCCCAAAGUGGCUUAAAUAAUUUCCCAAAUUCAAUCCUUACCACACCUGCCUCUCAUUUUCUCCCAAUAUUCCAGAAUUUUUACCCAGCAGAGGUUUUAAAUCCUGAGUAUGGCAGUAAGGAGGACAAGAAACACCAGCAGGACUCUCCAGCUGGAAUUCCACAUCAAUUCCCAGCCAGUGCCAUCCCUGGGCAGGGUUUUUCCAGGAAUAAGAGUGACCAGGCACAUCCAGAAUUGGGGAAUAUUUCAUCUGAUUUUAAUGCAAUUUUUCAAGAAAAGGUGAAGGAUCAAGCACCGCUUCCAGAUUUCAAAAAUCAUAUUCAUGAGGAUAACAGUUCACCAACAGCUGCUUGCAGAAUCUCCCAUUUUAGAGAAAAGAAGGAGCAGCAUCGGCCAAGAAUUUCUGAUUUUGAUGAUUUUGCUGGCACGUGGCUCUGGGGUUUGUUCCCACCUGCCCAGCCCCAGGUACAGAGGGGAUCCCAGGGAGAUUCAGGAAAAGCUGAAGGAAACCCAAGGAAAAUGAGACGAAGCAGCUCAGAAGGAUCUCUCCUGCAAAGGGAAAAGCAAAACCAGCCC
This 1223-nucleotide long non-coding RNA is filed under the name Lonchura striata (white-rumped munia). RNAcentral's name for it is "domestica (Bengalese finch) lncRNA (ENSLSDG00000005829.1)". The record is from RNAcentral. Lineage: Eukaryota; Metazoa; Chordata; Aves; Passeriformes; Estrildidae.